This 16272-nucleotide long non-coding RNA is filed under the name Nicotiana benthamiana. RNAcentral's name for it is "long non-coding RNA (NBEN_LNC026889)". Lineage: Eukaryota; Viridiplantae; Streptophyta; Magnoliopsida; Solanales; Solanaceae. The record is from RNAcentral.
AGGAAUUCAAAUCCUUUAGACUUACUUCACACAUAUAUUUAUGACAUGAAGUCAAUACCAUCUCAUGGUGGAAAAAGGUAUUUCAUAACUUUUAUUGACGAUAGUACUCGAUAUUGCUAUGUUUACUUACUUAAUAGUAAAGAUGAAACAAUAGCCGCAUUCACGCAAUACAAAAAUGAAGUCGAAACGCAUCUUAACAAGAAAAUCAAAAUGAUAAGAAGUGAUAUGGGCGGUGAAUAUGAACCUCCUUUUGAACAAAUAUGUUUAGAAUAUGGAAUUAUUCAUCAAACAACGGCUCCUUAAACGCCCCAAUUCAAUGGGAUUGCAGAAAGAAACAAUCAUUCAUUAAAGGAGAUGAUGAAUGCAUUUUUAUAAGUUCUAGUUUUCCACAGAACUUGUGGGGGGAAUCCGUUCUUACGGCUAGCCGAAUACCAAAUCGAGUACCACAUAGCAAAAUACAAUUCAUUCCAUAUGAAAAAUGGAAAGGAAGGCAUUAUUUUAAAGUAUGAGGGUGUUUGGCAAAAGUGCAAGUUCCUAAACCCAAAAGGGUAAAAAUAGGACCGAAAACCAUUGAUUGUUUCAUAGGAUAUGCGACUAAUAGUAAAGCAUAUCGAUAUCUAGUUCAUAAAUCAGAAAAUCCCAACAUUCAUAAUAAUAUGGUUAUAUGAUCAGAUAAUGCUGAGUUAUUUGAAAAUAUAUAUAUAUAUCCAUAUAAAAAAGAAUGUGAGUUGAUUGGUGAAGGUUCUAAACGACCUCGAGAAGAAACAAAAUAAAGUACACUUAAUCAGGAGGAUCCACGACGUAGUAAACGUCAAAGAAUGUCUACUUUAUUUGGACCUAAUUUUGUGACUUUCUAAUUGGAAAAUGAGCUUCAAAAGAAGCUAUAUCUUCUUAGGAAUUAUUAUUUUGGAAAGAGGCAGUCAAUAAUGAAAUAAAAUCCAUACUGAACAACCAUACAUGUGAAUUGGUUGAUUUUCCUCCUGGAAAUAAACCGUUGGGUUCUAAAUGGAUCUUUAAAAGGAAAAUAAAAGAUGAUGGCACUAUUCACAAAUUUAAAACAAGAGUUGUGGUCAAAGGGUGUAGACAACGAGAAGGUCUUGACUAUUUUGAUACAUAUUCUCCAGUUAUAAGAAUUAAAUUCAUAUGAAUGUUAGUAGCGUUAGCUGCAGUUUAUGGUCUUGAAAUUCAUCAAAUAGAUGUUAACACGGCUUUUUUAAAUGGAGAGUUGGAGGAAGAAAUUUACAUGGAACAACUGAAGGGUUUGUGGUUCCAGGUAAAGAAAAGAAGGUAUGUAGACUUGUUAAGUCCAUUUACGGGCUAAAACAAGCACCUAAAUAAUGGCAUGCGAAAUUUGACCAAACAAUGUUGUCAAAUGGUUUUAAAAUAAAUGAAUGUGAUAAAUGUGUGUACAUUAAAAAAUUUUCAAAUCACAUAGUCGUUGUUUUCUUAUAUGUGGAUGAUAUGCUGAUAAUGAGUAAUGACAUUGCCAACAUAAAUGCGACUAAGCACAUGCUAACUAGCAAGCUUAAUAUGAAAGACUUGGGAGUUGCUGAUUUAAUUCUGGGAAAUAAAAUCCAUAAGACUUCUCAAGGUCUAGCUUUGUCACAAUCUCAUUAUAUUAAGAUAGUACUUGAAAAAUUCAAGCACUUGGGCUUUAAAGUUGCAAAGACUCCAAUUGACGUGAAUCUUGCAUUAGCAAAGAACAAAAUGCCAAAGCAUAUCACAAUUGGAUUAUGCUUAUGUGUUGGGUUGCUUAAUAUACAUCAUGAAUCGUACAGGACUAGAUAUAACUUGUGCUAUAAGUAAAUUGAGUCGAUAGAAAUCCAGGUCAAUCUCAUUGGAUGACCGUGAAACGAGUUUUGGGGUAUUUAGUAUAUCCCAGGACUUUGCUUUUCACAACAGUAAAUAUCUUGUGGUCAUUGAGGGAUACUGUGAUGCAAAUUGGAUCACCGAAUCAACUGAUUCCAAGUCCACAAAUGGAUAUGUAUUCACUAUUGGUGGAGGAGUGCUGUCUUGGAAGUCGUCCAAACAAACUUAUAUUGCCUGCUAUAAAAUGAAGGCUGAAUUCAUUGCGGUAUCUUGGAAGUCAUCCAAACAAACUUGUAUUACCCGCUCUAUAAUAGAGGCUGAAUUCAUAGCCUUAGAUAAAGCCAGUGAAGAAGCUGAAUGGCUCCGAAAUUUCUUGGAAGAUAUUUCAUUUUGGCCCAAAAUCGUUGGCACCAAUAUGCAUACUUUGCGAUAGUCAAGCGGCAAUUGGAAUGGCUGGAAGCGCUAUGCAUAACGGUAAAUCUCGUCAUAUACCACGAAGACAUAAAACCGUCAAGAAAUUACUCUCUAGAGCAAUUAUCACGAUUGAUUAUGUAAAGUCAAGUGAUAAUGUGAUCAUCGAGGGAAAUGAGACUGUGGAUGAGAAUAAGUCAUAGUGGAGGUAAGUUUACCUAGAAGACUGGAGAUCCCAAGAUCUAGGUUCAAGAUAUCAAACAAAGUCAUUAAUGAUGAUUCAACAUUUUCAACUAAACUUUUGAUCCAUUCUCGUGAUGAGACAAUGUUCAGCACCAAGGAUAAACCAUUAAGGAUUUUCAAUGAUUUCUAAAUUUGAUACGGGAUAUAUCAAAUAGGUAUCUACCGGAUGACACAUUUAGGAAUCACCUAUGUAAGUGUGAAGUGUUAGCCGCUUCAAGGGGAACUUUGUAAGGCCAGUUCUCUAUGCACUUAUGAAACUGGACGGUGUUCAUGGCUGAAAUAAACACAAUAAUGUGUGAUGACCCGACCCAUAGUCUCAUGUGUUUCCAUCCCGUUUUCGCCAUUUUAUGCUUAUACAUGUUUCAUUAUACGCAUUUGGUGAAUUUGAAGUAAUUCGGAUAGAGUUUGGUUGAAAAUGAGACAAUUAGUCUCUUUAGGAAAAGUUUGGUUUGGAAUAGUCAACCGGAUAUUGACUUGUAAGUUAGAGGGAUCAGAAUGGACUUUUUGAUGGUUUGGUUAGUUUUGGGGGAUGAUUUAAGGCUCAGGAGAUUAAUCGGAAAUAAAUUUGGAGGCUCGUUGUAGAAGUUAGCCUGUUUUGGCGAAGUUAGGAUUUUGGCGAAAUUCGGUUGAUAUGCGAGAUUUUGACCGAGGGUCAAAAUAGAAUUUCGAGAGUUGCAGUAGCUUCGUUAGGUAAUUUUUGAUAUGUAUACAAAAUUUCAGUUGAUUCGGAGGUGUCUUGGUCGGUUUUUAUCGAAUGCGUUUUUCGAAAGUUUUAGUUUGACUUAGGCUUGAAUCCAUUGUGAUUUGAUGAUUUUUGUGUUGUUGGAUGUGUUUAUAGGAUUGGAACAAGUUUUAAUGAGGUUUUAGGACAUGUUGGUGGUUUUGAUUGAGGUCCCGGGGGCCUCUGAGUGAUUUCGGAUGGUCAAUCUGACCAUUUCUAGACUUUGAGGAUUGCUAGUUUUUCAGCUGUUGGUGUUGCAGAAGGUUGUUCUUCGCGUUCGCAUGGGUGAGUCACGAACGCGUAGAAGGAAAUGGAGGGCCAGGAUAUUUGGCCUUCGUGUUCGCGAAGCUGGGUCGCAUUUGCCUAGGUUGGUGGCUUUUUCUCUUCGCACUAACAUUUGGCAUGGGUGAGUUGCGAACGCGUAGAAGGAAUUGGAGGGCCAGGAUAUUUGGCCUUCGCGUUCGCGAAGCUGGGUCACGUUCGCAUAGGCUGGUGGCCAGUGCUCUUCGCGGACACGGGGUCCCAAAUGCGAACACGAAGAGUACUGGCCACCAGCCUACGCGAACGUGACCCACCUUCGAAAAUGCUAAGGCUAAAUAUCAUGUCCCUCCAAUUCCUUCUACGCAUUUACGACUCACCCAUGCAAACGCGAAGAACAACCUUCUGCAACACCAAUAGCUGAAAAACCACCAAUCCUCAAAGUCUAGAAAUGGUCCGAUUGACCAUCCGAAAUCACUCCGAGGCCCCCGGGACCUUAACCAAAAGCACCAACACAUCCUAAAACCUCAUUCAAACUUAUUCCAAUCCUAAAAACACAUCCAACAACACAAAAAUCAUCAAAUCACAACGGAUUCAAGCCUAAGUUAAACUAAAACUUCCGAAACUCGCAUUCAAUCAAAAACUCGACCUAGACACCUAUGCAUCAACUGAAAUUUUGCACACACAUUCAAAAUCACCUAACAAAGCUACUAAAACUCUCGGAAUUCUAUUCCGACCCUCGGAUCAGAAUUUCGCAUAUCAACCGGAUUUCGUCAAAAUCCUAACUUUGCCAAAAUAGGCUAACUUCUACAUCGAACCUCCAAAUUCACUUACGAUUGCUCUCCUAAGCCUUAAAUCAUCCCUUGAAACUAAAUAAACCAUCAGAAAUCAAUUCCGAGCCUUCUAACUCAUAAGUCAAAAUCCGGUUGACUUCCAAACCAAACUUUUCCUAAAGAGACUAAUUGUCUCAUUUCCAACCAAACUCUAUCCGAAUUACUUAAAAUUCAUCAAACACAUAUAAUGAAACAUGUAAAACCAUAAAACCGGGAAAACGGGAUGAAAACACAUGAGAAGAUAGGUUGGGUCGUCACACAAUGAGAACCAAAGACGCUUAAGGGUUGCUUGUGUGAAUUAUGGUUGUCCAGGUAUACACCAAAGUUCGACGGUUCGAAAAUAUCAAAUCUACCGAUUGACCGAGUAUAUCCGACAUAAGAUAACUACGGAAAGUUCAAAUGGUAACCUACUUAUCCAGAUGCAAUUAAUCCUUACUUGCGAAUUACGCAGUUUUUCAUGCAUAUUUUCGUGAUAUAGCCAUUUCUUAUUCAUGUGGGGGAUUUCUGGGAUUUUAAUUAUAUGAUAUGCUUAAAAUAGGGUGAAUGAAAAAUGGGGGAAAAUGAAAUUUUAAGUUCCCCCCUUGCCAAGGGAAAUUGUCCCAUAUUGGAAGAGUAGGAAGUUUUUUUAUGGGUAUAUAAACAACUGCUCUUCUUCUAGCUCUUAAAGAGUUAAGAAGAAGGCAAGCCUCGUACCGUCGUCAUCGCUCGCUUUCUCAGCUUCGGCUUCGGCUUCAGAUUCAGAUUCAGAUUUGGUCAACUGAUCGAUUGAUUGAUUAAUUUUUUGUACCAAAUUUAUUUGUUAAUAGUAAAAUAUUAACAUAAAUAUUAUUAAAUAUUUAUUUUAAUAAUAGAAUAUUAAUAUUAAAUCCAAUCCAUUUUUUCUGUUAUGUAACUGUAAAUUAAAGGAAUUUUUACCUCAUAUAGCAAAUGUUAACACCUUAUUUAUUUUAAAUAAAUACCAUUUAAAAAAUUAUAUUCUAUAGAUACCUUUUAAUGUUUAUAGAAAAGUAUUUAAAUUUGAUUACCUCCUACCCCUAAGCCACUAAAUACGUUAUUCAGUUACACUAUUUGCUUUUUCUCUCUACUUUAAUGCACUAUUCAAUAAUGAAAGCAGUAAGUUUCCUCUUUAUCAAUUUGUCAUUAAAGGCUUGAAGACAGUAACUUUCCUCUAAUCAUUCUUCAAUCUUCAUCAGUAUGGUUGUCGCCUUCCUGUUCUGAGAAACUUUUCUCUUAUAGCUGAUAUUCCCAACACUACACAUGUAACAUGUAACAUCCGUACUAUCUUUUUGCAAUUGUUACAUAAAGACUCCAAUAUCAAGUGUAUUAUCUCAUUUAGACCAGAAUUUUUUCCCCUGUUCGUUUCCCCAAGGCGGUGCGUUUUUACUAUCGGUUUCCGGUGAAUGGCGGACUAGCCAGAAAAUAGAGUGUAUUCCUGAAAAAAGACGAUGGAGUAUGGGGCGGAGCAACUUGAUUUUUUAUUAAUAUAUUUUAAUAUAUUUUAUUGUAUUCAUUGUCUUUUUUUUAUUGUAAUUCAAUGUAUCUCGUUGUAUUCCAUGUAUUUUAUUGUGUUCAUUGUCUUUUUUUUCAUUGUAUUUCAAUAUAUCCCGCUUUAUUCUAUGUAUUUCAUUGUAUUCAUUUUCUCGCUAUAUGCCAUGAAUGUAUUAGUAUAUUUUUUAUAAUUAAUAUAAUUUAUGUAUUCAGAUGUAUUAUAUUAUUUCUCUGAAGAUUGCCAUGUUUUUUGGGUAUUUUCCGAUUGCCAUGUUUUUUUGGGUAUUAAGAGUCUAUUAUGUUAAUUGAUUCACUUUCCGUUUUAAAAAUAGUGUAAUCCCCUAUUUCACGCCGUCAAUACAGUCGAAUACAAUAAUCUGUCUAGCUGUAAUUCCAUGUUUCAAUGAAUACGGUCGAAUACACUCGAAUACAACAACUGAUUAGCUAGACUUCCCUGAGUCACGCCUAAUUUUGGUACUGUAUUCUUGAAUACAAUAGCUUAAGUAGAUCAAAUGCAUCUUAUAACCACAUAAAAGAUAUCUAUAAUCCGCAAUAUAGCAAAUGGUAUCUAUAGAUGGCUAAUUACUACUAAAGGUUAGUGCUUUACGAAAAUUUCUCAAAAUUAAACUACGCUCUUCAAUUUUCCCUCUUUAUUGUUGAGUAAAUAGCCAUUUAUGUUUUGCCAUUUAUGCUGUGGCCAUUUUGUAUAAGCAACCAUUCUGUAGAGUUGCACCUCUUCAGAUUUCAACCAAACUUUGGCUAUAAACUUUGUGUUCUCUGAAAUACGGUGAUUUGAAGUACCACUACACCAGUGCCUAAUUCGUUCUAUCAUGAAAGGAAAUAAUCCAUAACCUUGGGUACUAGGAGGGGAUUAAAUUCCUUAAGGAAACACUGUGAAUUCGGUGGGAUCGAAAUGAUUUUUGUUAUUUCGUUUACAUUUCUAUAUAUGUUAUUUUAUUUUCACCAAAAAUGUUUUACAAAUAGAGAUUACUAAUAGUUUCUGCUAUCAAAAAUGGAAAAAAAAGAGUUGGGAAAGCUGAGUUAACUGCAGUUAUCAAUGUAUGGGUCAAAACCUGACUCGUGAUAAUUAAAAAGAUUAUUUCUCUCUUAAGCAUAUUCGGAUUAACAAAUGGCACAACCAUUCGUUAAUAGCAAGCACUCAAAGAUCGCGCAGCUUAAUCAAUGCAGCUAUGGCCUACUCGCUAUUGACAGGCGUCCCAUCGACAUGGUCACGGCUGCCUGAUGCCAACUGGAAAGAUUCACAGCUAUGAUUACUAAGAGAAAGAACCCUAAAAGGGGGCUGCCUCUUCUUCUUCCUGGCCAUUUUCGAGAAAAGAGAGAAUAUCAUUGUAAGGCUCUGAACCUCUCCAUGGAGAGGCAGACCAAGCUAAUAUCAUCAAUAAAAGAUCUCUACCCUUCUCUCCCUAACAAAUAACACUUGUCUCUUGCAUUUUUACAUUUGGUCUUUUGAUUAUUAUGAUCUUCUAUGAUUGGCCCUUGAUUUAUUUCGAUUGUUUUAUGCGUAUAAAGUGUACAAUAACUUUGAGCAAAAUAAUUUGGCGCCAUCUGUGGGGACCCAGGCUAUGUGCCUUCGACAUCGAAAAUUGCAAAGGUUCAACUACGGUUGAACAACUUCUCAGGCUACGCGCCCUCGCCCAAAAGUUCAACUAUGAGAUGAACUGGAACUCAGGCUAUGUGCCAUCGACAUCAAAAAUUGAAAAGGUUCAACUACAAUUGAACAACAACUCAAGCUACGCACCCUCCCCAAAAAGUUCAACUAUGAGUUGACCUGGGACUCAGGCUAUGUGCCUUCGACAUCGCAAAGGUUCAACUACGAUUGAACAACUACGUACGCUACGUGCCCUCGCCCAAAAGUUCAACUAAGAGUUGAACUGGGACCCAGGCUAUGUGCCUUCGCAUCGAAAAUUGCAAAGGUUUAACUACGGUUGAACAACUAUUCAGGCUACGCGCCCUCAACCAAAAGUUCAACUAUGAGUUGAACUGGAACUCAGGCUAUGUGCCUUCGACAUCAAGAAUUGCAAAGGAUCAACUACAGUUGAACAACAACUCAGACUACGCGACCUCGCCCAAAAAACAUCUAUGAGUUGAACUGAGACUCGGGCUAUGUGCCUUCGACAUCAAAAAUUGCAAAGGUUAAACUACAGUUGAACAACUACUCAGGCUACAUGCCCUUGCCCAAAAGUUCAACUAUGAGUUGAACUAGGACCAAGGCUAUUUGCCUUCGAUAUCAAAAAUUGCAAAGGUUCAAUUGAACAACUACUCAAGCUACGUGCCCUCGCCCAAAAAUUCAACUAUGAGUUGAACUGGAACUCAGGUUAUGUCCCUUCGACAUCAAAAAUUGCAAAGGUUCAACUACAGGUGAACAACAAUUCAGGCUACGCACCCUCGCCCAAAAGUUCAACUAUGAGUUGAACAAGGACUCUGGCUAUGUGCCUUCGACAUCAAAAAUUUCAAAGGUUCAACUACGGUUGAACAACUACUCAGGCUACGCGCCCACGCCCAAAAGCUAAACUAUGAGUUGAACUUGAACUCAGGCUUUGUGCCUUCGACAUCGAAAAUUGCAAAGGUUCAACUACGGUUGCACAACUACUCAGGCUACGCGCCCUCGCCCAAAAUUUCAACUAUGAGUUGAACUGGAACUCAGGCGAUAUGUCUUCAAUAUCAAAAAUUACAAAGGUUCAACUACGGUCGAAUAACAACCCAGGCUACGCGCCCUCGCCCAAAAGUUCAACUAUGAGUUGAACUGGGACUCAGGCUAUGUGCCUUCAAUAUCGAAAAUUGCAAAGGUUCAACUACGGUUGAACAACUACUCAGGCUACACUCCCUGGCCCAAAAGUUCAACUAUGAGGUGAACUGGGACUCAGGAUUUGUUCCUUCGACAUUAAAAAAUUUUAAAAUUCAACUGCAGAAUGAUCUAAGACUCCCGUCGCACGCCUUCGUCAUCACGAGACCAACCCCACCCAGACGGCAAGGCAUAACGCCCUCGUCCUGAAAGUUAAAAGGGUUUCAACCCCGGCUGAACCAAAACUCAGGCCAAUUGCCCUCACCAUUGGAUGCUGCAAGGCCUGUUUCUCAACGAACGAAGGGACAACUUAAGCACCCUUUCCAAUCAAGCAAGUAUGCCUAACUUGAACCAAGAUUAAAUCUAAUCCGCGAUAAGUUAUGCCCCGGCAAAAUUGCAAGGCCAUGGCCAGUAAUUCGACCACGCCCAAACAGGGACUAAGGCAAUAUGCCACUCUCUCCAAAUAAAGGCCACCGACUUACUCUUAUCGAGUAAAGGAAAGCGAUAAGCAAAAAGCAACCAAUCACGGCUAAAGCCAUCGACGCCACCUAAUUUUCGACUAAGGGCGAGCAAAAGACUCGACAACAGUCGAAGUCAUCCAACUGGUCAAGGCCAACAAUCGAAGUCAUCCAACUGGUCAAGGCCAACAAUCGAAGUCAUCCAACUGGUCAAGGCCAUCGACGUUACCACAACUAAAAUCGUAGGGGGAUCAACAUGCACACUAGAAAACUCUAAAGGCGAAGAUCCCUUGAACGAAUGAAAAAAUAAAAAUCAAAAACAAGAAAAGGAACAUAAAAUUGCAUAUAUAUCUACAACUUUAUUUACAAUGAGACACCUCCGCUUACAUACAGCAAGGCCAGCUAACAAAGAAAAAUUAGCCAAACGGCAACAAAAAAAAUAGAAUAAAACUAACUCUACAAAAACCUUUUUACUCAGUGCCACCCGCACCACCAUCAGCGCCCUCGGUGCCAUCAUCAGCCCCUGGAGUGGCCGGGUCAAAGCCACAGCCAAGAUGAGCAUCACGGGCCUUUUGACGAGCACCCUCAUAAACAGCUUCGUGCACAAUGCCGGCCUCCCAUAAUUUUCUGUACACGUCGAGCUGGGCCUCAACAAACGACCAAAGGUCACGAACGGGGCUGUAAGAGGCCUCCUGGUCCCUCAGGCACUGAUUCUCGGCCUCCAAGGCCGUAAUCCGAUCUGCCGCAAUAUGGGCAUCCUGUUCAUAAUCGCCAAUGUGUUCCUCUAUCCCCGCCACUCCAAAAGCCACAGCAAAUCUCUCCAGCUCCCUUUCCCUCUCACGAACACGGACCGUCGUCUCCAACUCCCCAGCCUUCAUUAAGCAUACCUUGUUUCCCGCCUCGAGGAAGCGAGCUCCUCGUCAAAAUUAACCACAUGCCUGAUCAAGGCCUCAGAAGCCUCUGUCGGGGCCUCCUGACUUCGGCACUCCCUUUCAGCUACAGCGCUCCUCUCGGCCUCCAUCUCCUCGUCCUUACGACGAAGUUGCUCUCGAGAGCGUUUACCCUGUUUUGAGUUUGCUGCACUAGAAGUUCCCGCCUAGCCAACUCUUCAAACAACUCCCGGCUGCGAGGGUCGUCCUUCAAGCGAUCGCUCAUCGCGCGGCACCUAUCCCAGUAGCGGCGAUACUUCUCCAGCAUCUGCAAAAAGAUUCAUGGGCGAACGUUGGCUCGGUGCAUACCCUCCACUCCCAAAAGGAUGGUCUGCAAAGCAAAAACAAUGGUUAAAAUAGAAGGCAAAUCAGGGCAAGAAUAGAAACGAAAAAAGAUCAUCACAUGUACCCUAAAACCUAUCACGGCCGCCUCGGUCAUCAAUCCGACGUCUGUAACGUCCCUCAGUGACCUGAUCUCCUCCUCUGAGCACAAAGGCGCAAACAUCGGUACCAAAUUUUCCUCCUCAAGCACCAGGUUCUGCUUGGUAGGAAUCUCAGCAUAACAAAAUGGUCCCUCUGCAUGCGCCUUCACGUUGGUGAAGCCUUCCCGGAGCAUGCGGACGUCGUCAAGAUCCAAGUCAGACUCGGAGUCAAACUCCCCUCCCGCGAUGUCCUUUUCUUCCUUAACCGGCCGAGAGUUCAAGGCCCCCUCCCCCGCCAAAGGGUUGACACUUACUUCUCUGACCAAAGCAGCUGCUGAGGAACCACCUUCCCUCUCAACAACUGGGAUUGACAAUUAAGGUGCCGAAGCGACGGUUUCAUUACGGCUUGAGCCGACUAGGGCAACCCCCAUUGUGUUUUCGCCCUCAAGGGCAGGCAUAUCCAUCUCACUCCCCUCCGCACCCGACGACGGGGAGUCCAAAUGUACCACCUCGACAGUAGACGUGAAGGCGAACCUACGCCUAACCAAUGGCCUUUCCUCCUCCUCCUCAUCCUCAUUCAAAGGCGAUUCCGUGCUAGGGCGAACAACCCCCGAAGACGCCUCGAACCGAGAUAUAGACCAUGCUGGGGAAUGGGCCACCGAUGACUCAAUUGAAGUCGCCCUCAGAACUGGACGCGGCAUCAACGCCAUAACCAGCUGAGCAAUCGCAUCUGACCUGCAGAAAGCAAGUUGAGGAGCCCUCACACGGCGCACCACCCCUGAUCAACCAAUAAAAAGAUUAAAAGGAGAGAAACUCAGCACAAUCGAUCAAGAACGAUGCAAUAACUCAAACACUCACCCGAAGCGGGUCUACGACCAUGCCUUUCCCAGAAGUACGACAAUGUGCGGAUCCCCACUAUCCGAGGGAGUACGGCCUCGACCCAUUCGCUAAUGCCGCAAAGAGGAGCCGAUCGUACCCGCUCAUCUACAAAUAAAAGUUAGAGUUAACCCCUAUCAGAACAAGGAACAAGAAAGAACAGAAGGCAGAAUCCGACGAAUAGAAAACUCACGUAUAUGGUUCCAAGUCUCCAGGAACUCCCACAUUCACCACAAAAUGCUCGGUCCUGAUGUAGAAAAAAAUCUCAUAAGUAUGAGAAUCGACCUCGUCAUCCAGCUCCACGGUCAAACCCUUGGCCCCACGAGGGACCAUUCGAAUCUUGUUAUCGCGGACCCUCUAAGGGGCAUACAGAAUCAGCACGUGUCGCGGCGUUAUUGCUUUUCGGGCCAACUCCGCAUACUUGGCAAGCAUGGCAAAAGGCUUGUAGAAAGAAGGGACGAGAUUGGUCAGGACACACCUCGUAAUAGCGGCAAAAAUCUACCACCAACGUUGGAAAGGGAAGCCUAAAUCACAAUCUAAAAGGGUAAGCGUAGAAAAUGCAAUACCCUGGGUGGUUGAUAUGCAUCCUUUCCUCACUCCUAGCAAGGAAGAUAUCAGCAGAACGAGAGAUGCCUCAUUGCUCUCACAAAAGCCAUCAUUAACUUCAUAACCAACCAAAAAACGGUUCGAAUACAUAGUAACGUGUGCCAUUAAUGGCAGAUACCACGAAACUACUUUGCGACUGUCAAUCACACAUUGCCUUCAAAGCAGGUUUGACGGCUUGGCUAUGAUGGAAGGACGUCCAAUGCGCCUCCACACAUCGAACACCAUUGCAGUGCACAUCAAGCACACCCAUAUCCUCAGCGGCCACCUACGGGAAUACAUGGCCCUAGAUGAAAACAUCAAACGGCCAUCCCCCAUGUAUAUAAAUGGCUACGGCCAUCUCCUAAAUAUAAACGGCUACGACCAUCCCCCGUGAAUAUAAAUGGCUACGGCCAUCUCCUAAAUAGAAAUGACUAUGGCCACCCUCCAUGUAUAUAAACGGCUAUGGCCGUCUCCUAAAUAUAAAUAGCUACGAACACCCUCCAUGUAUAUAAAUGGCUACGGCCAUUCCUAAAUAUAAAUGGCUACGGCCACCCUCCAUGUAUAUAAAUGGCUACAGCCAUCUCCUAAAUAUAAAUGGCUAUGGCCGUCCUCCAAGUACGAGUGGCUACGGUUGUUUCCUAAAAAUAUAUAAAUGGCUACGACCAUCUCUUAAGAAUAAACGGUUAUGGCCAUCUUCAAAGCAUGAACAGCUACGGCCAUCCUAGGCUAUGGCCGAAAUGGCUUCAGAUCCCCUUUUCUCCGAAUCAAUUUGAAUCACGUUCAGUAAAGUCCGCUCAUCGAGUUCGACCGGAUCUCGACCUCAAUAAGCGGAAGGACUAAUUGUAUGGAUCAAAACCUGACUCGUGAUAAUUAAUAAGAUUAUUUCGCUCUUAAGCAUAUUCAGAUUAACAAAUGGUACAACCAUCCGUUAAUAGAAAGCACUCGAAGAUCCCUCAGCUUAAUCAAUACGGCCAUGACCUACUCACUAUUGGCGAGCGUCCCCUCGACAUGGUAAUGGCUGCCUGAUGCCAGCUAGCAAGAUUCACAGCUAUAAAUACUAAGAGAAAGAACCCUAAAAUAUGGUUGCCUCUUCAUCUUCCUGACCAUUCUCGAGAAAAGAGAGAAUAUCAUUGUAAGGCUCUGAACCUUUACAUGGAGAGGCAGACCAAGGUAAUAUCAUCAAUAAAAGAUAUCUACCCUUCUCUCCCUAACAAAUAACACUUGUCUCUUAUAUUUUUCAUUUGGUCUUUUGGAUUAUUACGAUCUGCUAUGAUUGGCCCUUGAUUUAUUUCGAUUGUUUUAUACGUAAAAAGUGUACAAUGACUUUGAGCAAAACAAUCAACAAAUGCACGUUAACUUCCUUACUCUGUUUCGCUUUCUUUUUUCCUUUUAGUUUAUUGCUUUUUCAUAUGGAACGUUCUGUUGAAAUGCCUUUGUUCAUCCGUACUAUUGACCUGUCAAAGCUGUUGCGGAAACUCUCUCAAAUGCAAGCAGUCAUAAACUAGCUAUUUUAUACUAAGGAACUGUGCUAGUUUUAGUCUCAAAGUUAUAAUUUAACUGUGUUCACCUAUUAUAUAUGUAACAUACCCUUUUUUUCGAUUAAGCACAAACAUAUAUAAGAAAAAAAAUUGUCUCUCAGAAUGCAAUAUGGCUUUACUGGGCCAUUUGAUGAAGAUACUAUUUAUCCUAGGAUUUUAGAAACUUGUCAAAAGAUAAAUCAAUGGCAAGUGAUAGAAGAAUUCAUACUAUUUUAAUCGUAUUAAAAUAUCAAACAAAGAAAGAAUGAAAAACAUGCAUAACCUCUCAAGCACAUAAAAGGAAUCAAAUAAAACAGUACUGUAUUCUGUAAUGCAGAUUGCAGCACUAUCCUGAACAUAUCACUCACAAAAACUUAGUAUUGAAAAUGCAGAAAUUUCCUAAGAUGAAAGACCAGCCUUGAUUUUCUGAAUAGUGGUAACAUCAGACUUGAAUGACUUGGCAAGAAUUUGAUCAUCGACUCCUGUAGAAAACAACGUAGUAGGAAGUGAAACAGUUCCAGCAUUCGCGCUACCAAAACCAGAAACAGCUGUAGCCGAUUUUUUCCAAUCAGAAUUAUACUGAUAAUGCACUAAUCCUUUAGGGAACACAAACAAGUCACCAACUUGAAGAGUCUGAGUGUAAAGCUUGUUACUGGUGUCCACAAAUCCAACCUCGAGACUACCUUGAACGACGAAUAGCAGCUCAGCUGCGCGAGGAUGGGUGUGGAGCGGGUUUACACCUCCUCCUGGAAACUGAAGUACUGCCAAUGAAACACUCUGACUAUCCAAAAUUGGAAACUCUGCCUUGCUAACUUUUGUCACUUUGAACUUUUCAGUGAUACUACCAAAAAUACCACGCGUGCCUGUGAAGGUAAAUAGGUUCCCAUCUAUCGCGCUUCCUGGAGGAACAAUGAAGUCGGACAAGAUAUCUGGAUCACUAGCUUGAGCCAUCAAAAAGAUGGUAAACAUGGCUACAACAAAAAGGACACUUUUCAGGUGGAAUGACGCCAUUUCUCGCUCGUCGUCUUAGGUGUCUGUAAGACACGGGUAAUAGGAUAUAGAUAAGUUGUAAGAGAAUGAUGAUUAGUUCAGUUUGAUCACAAAUUUAUAAAAGACCAAAGCUGGAACCAAAUUUGCUGAAGGAUAAGCCAGUUGGAAAUUGAUGUUAACUAAGUUUGAUCCCCAUUUAGUUUAUUGUUUUGAUGGCAGAAACUACCUGGAAACUACAUUUAAAGAUUAUAUAAUUCGAAAUGCGUUUGGUGUUCCUUAGGUUUCAUCAGUUAAAUGCUACAGGAUAUUAUUUUAUGGACUCCUUUUUCUUGUAAUAUAAGCAAGGUGGUCAAAGUGGAAAACAUCACCAUUAUAAGGAACAAUAUAGCUGUUUUCUCUUGUCCAUAUUGAAAACCAGAAAUGGAAAAGUGUGAACAAUUUAUCUUGUUUCUGCAAUUUAUCGGAGACUUCAAUCUCAAUUCUUAUUUCAUAUGUCCCCUCUAUAUCUAUAAAAUCUUUAGUUCAUAAUUCAUGUCCUUCACACAUUAAAACUUAGAAUAUAAAUCCUUCAAACACUUAAACCAAAACAUAGAAAAAACAUGGAAUCAAAAUUUUCAAGCCACAAAGUUCUGUUAGCACUAGCAAUAUCACUAGUCAUUUUCCAAAUGGCAUCAGCUGGUGACCCGGAUAUCCUAACAGACUUUGUGCUGCCACUGGAGGUACCAUUAGUUGAUCCGUCUUACUUCACCUUCUCGGGCCUGAGGGGACUCAUCGGAGCUCCACCACCAGAAAAAUUCAAGGCGACAAAGGCAAGCAUGGCCGAGUUUCCAGCCCUGAACGGACAAAGUGUUUCCUAUGCAAUCCUGCAGUAUCCUGCUGGCUCUGUCAAUCCUGUCCACACUCAUCCACGUGCAUCCGAGCUACUUUUCCUCGUGUCAGGAACACUGCAAGUUGGAUUCAUUGAUAGCACGAACAAGUUCUUCAAUCAGACGUUGCAAACUGGAGAUGUUUUCGUGUUCCCUAAGGGGUUAGUUCAUUUCCAGUAUAAUGCUGAUGCUAAGAAUUGUGCUUGGGCUAUAUCUGCGUUCGGAAGUGCAAAUGCAGGCACUGUUUCUGUUCCUAAUUCUGUGUUCAAUACCAGCAUUCCUGAUAACAUUUUGGCCAAGUCAUUCAAAACUGAUAUCAUCACCAUUCAGAAACUCAAGGUAGGUCUAGCCUGAAGAUUCACAUAUACUUGGGGGGAAGUUUUUAAUUUCAACAUUUUUAUUUCACAUUGUUGUUUUUCACUUUCCAAUGUAAAAAUAAUUAUUAACCUUCUGAGGAUCUGAUUAAGGAGGUUUAUGGCAUGCCAUCGGAAUGCAAAGUCUAAAAUAAAUGAAUUUCUUAGAGGGUGAUUGGAUUGGUCUUUAAGCUAUAAGUUAAAAGCCAUUAGUUGAUAAUACCUAACUCUUGGUCUUUGGCUUAUUUUUGUGCUUUUCAUACCUAAAAGUAAGUGUUUUUAAAUAUUUUUUAUUAUUGCGCCAAACACUACAAAAACUAAAAGAAGUACUUAAAAGCAAUAAAUACCUAAAAAAAUCAAAUGUUUGUGUCAUCGAACUGCUAGGAUUGAACAUAAUUUGAGAAAACUGCGGUAAAAGAAGUUUUAUUUUCUUUUUUCGUCUUUCCAAUGUAAAAAUAAUUAUUAACCUUCUGAGGAUCUGAUUAAGGAGGUUUAUGGCAUGCCAUCGGAAUGCAAAGUCUAAAAUAAAUGAAUUUCUUAGAGGGUGCUUGGAUUGGUCUUUAAGCUAUAAGUUAAAAGCCAUUAGUUGAUAAUACCUAACUCUUGGUCUUUGGCUUAUUUUUGUGCUUUUCAUACCUAAAAGUAAGUGUUUUUAAAUAUUUUUUAUUAUUGCGCCAAACACUACAAAAACUAAAAAAAGUACUUAAAAG